This is a long non-coding RNA of Manis pentadactyla (Chinese pangolin), 226 nucleotides long. RefSeq lists it as uncharacterized. The record is from RefSeq and is a predicted model, not a curated record. The transcript is spliced from 3 exons. NCBI's taxonomy places the organism in Eukaryota, Metazoa, Chordata, Mammalia, Pholidota, Manidae.
GAACAAAAACGCCGCAAAAUUGAUACACACCAUUCUCCAUCAUAUUCCUCGACAGUAAAGGACAGUCUCAUCGAACUCAAGGAGUCUUCAGCAAAGCUCUACAUUAAUCAUGCUCCACCACUGUCCAAGAGUAAGGAGAGAGAAAUGGACAAGAAAGAUUUGGACAAGUCAAGGGAAAGAUCCAGAGAAAGAGAGAAAAAAGAUGAAAAGGACAGGAAAGAGCGGA